AUGACUCUCGGCAACGGAUAUCUCGGCUCUCGCAUCGAUGAAGAACGUAGCGAAAUGCGAUACUUGGUGUGAAUUGCAGAAUCCCGUGAACCAUCGAGUCUUUGAACGCAAGUUGCGCCCGAAACCAUUAGGUUGAGGGCACGCCUGCCUGGGUGUCACAC
RNAcentral lists this ribosomal RNA (161 nucleotides) under Lotus edulis. RNAcentral describes it as "5.8S ribosomal RNA". It matches the Rfam family "5.8S ribosomal RNA". Rfam says of the family: 5.8S ribosomal RNA (5.8S rRNA) is a component of the large subunit of the eukaryotic ribosome. The record is from RNAcentral. Lineage: Eukaryota; Viridiplantae; Streptophyta; Magnoliopsida; Fabales; Fabaceae.